RNAcentral lists this long non-coding RNA (220 nucleotides) under Elaeis guineensis (African oil palm). RNAcentral describes it as "long non-coding RNA (EGUI_LNC066277)". The record is from RNAcentral. Lineage: Eukaryota; Viridiplantae; Streptophyta; Magnoliopsida; Arecales; Arecaceae.
UUGAGUUAUUGAAUAUACUGGUGACUAUAAAGGGCACCUUGAAGAGUUCAAGGGGCACAGUUCUAGCUGUGGAGUGAGCUUCCUCAAAAAGGAAGUCUUUCUUUAAGAAGAAGAAAAUGCCCGACAAAAAAGUAAAAGAAUGUAGCUAAGCCCAAGAAAUAGAUUCCUAAGAAGGUCGACGAUAAAGAAAAAUAUUUUUAUUGCAACAUCGAAGGCCACU